This 419-nucleotide ribosomal RNA is filed under the name bacterium. RNAcentral describes it as "partial 16S ribosomal RNA". It matches the Rfam family "Bacterial small subunit ribosomal RNA", at positions 355 to 776 of the family's 1533-position model. The record is from RNAcentral.
UGGGGGAUAUUGCACAAUGGGCGAAAGCCUGAUGCAGCGACGCCGCGUGGGGGAUGAAGGCCUUCGGGUUGUAAACUUCUUUUGCUCUGAACAAGGCGCACCAUGGGGUGUGUUGAGUGUAGGGGUUGAUUAGCGCCGGCUAACUACGUGCCAGCAGCCGCGGUAAUACGUAGGGCGCGAGCGUUGUCCGGAAUUAUUGGGCGUAAAGGGCUUGUAGGUGGCUGGUUGCGUCUGUCGUGAAAGCUCAUGGCUUAACUGUGGGUUUGCGGUGGGUACGGGCUGGCUUGAGUGCAGUAGGGGAGGCUGGAAUUCCUGGUGUAGCGGUGGAAUGCGCAGAUAUCAGGAGGAAUGCCGGUGGCGAAGGCGGGUCGCUGGGCUGUUACUGACACUGAGGAGCGAAAGCAUGGGGAGCGAACAGG